AAUUGAACGCUGGCGGGAAUGCUUUACACACUGCAAGUCGAACGGCAGCACGGACUUCGGUCUGGUGGCGAGUGGCGAACGGGUGAGUAAUAUAUCGGAACGUGCCCAGUCGUGGGGGAUAACGUAGUGAAAAUUACGCUAAUACCGCAUACGAUCUAUGGAUGAAAGCGGGGGAUCGCAAGACCUCGCGCGAUUGGAGCGGCCGAUAUCAGAUUAGGUAGUUGGUGAGGUAAAGGCUCACCAAGCCAACGAUCUGUAGCUGGUCUGAGAGGACGACCAGCCACACUGGAACUGAGACACGGUCCAGACUCCUACGGGAGGCAGCAGUGGGGAAUUUUGGACAAUGGACGCAAGUCUGAUCCAGCCAUUCCGCGUGCAGGACGAAGGCCUUCGGGUUGUAAACUGCUUUUGUACAGAACGAAAAGGUUUCUAUUAAUACUAGGAGCUCAUGACGGUACUGUAAGAAUAAGCACCGGCUAACUACGUGCCAGCAGACCGCGGUAAUACGUAGGGUGCAAGCGUUAAUCGGAAUUACUUGGGCGUACAAGCGUGCGCAGGCGGUUAUGUAAGACAGAGGU
Molecule: ribosomal RNA, 578 nt
Filed under: uncultured beta proteobacterium
Lineage: Bacteria; Pseudomonadati; Pseudomonadota; Betaproteobacteria
Description: bacterial SSU rRNA
Rfam family: Bacterial small subunit ribosomal RNA
Source: RNAcentral